CCUACGGGAGGCAGCAGUAGGGAAUCUUGCGCAAUGGGCGAAAGCCUGACGCAGCCAUGCCGCGUGAAUGAUGAAGGUCUUAGGAUUGUAAAAUUCUUUCACCGGGGACGAUAAUGACGGUACCCGGAGAAGAAGCCCCGGCUAACUUCGUGCCAGCAGCCGCGGUAAUACGAAGGGGGCUAGCGUUGCUCGGAAUUACUGGGCGUAAAGGGCGCGUAGGCGGAUAGUUUAGUCAGAGGUAAAAGCCCAGGGCUCAACCUUGGAACUGCCUUUGAUACUGGCUAUCUUGAGUACGGGAGAGGUGUGUGGAACUCCGAGUGUAGAGGUGAAAUUCGUAGAUAUUCGGAAGAACACCAGUGGCGAAGGCGACACACUGGCCCGUUACUGACGCUGAGGCGCGAAAGCGUGGGGAGCAAACAGGAUUAGAUACCCUGGUAGUCCACGCCGUAAACGAUGAGUGCUAGUUGUCGGCAUGCAUGCAUGUCGGUGACGCAGCUAACGCAUUAAGCACUCCGCCUGGGGAGUACGGUCGCAAGAUUAAACNCAAAGGAUUGACGGNGNGAGAGNGCGACGACGACGACGAGGGAGAG
Molecule: ribosomal RNA, 590 nt
Filed under: uncultured bacterium
Lineage: Bacteria
Description: bacterial SSU rRNA
Rfam family: Bacterial small subunit ribosomal RNA
Source: RNAcentral